UCGUUCCCUUCCCCCAUACCCACCUUAUUCUUCACCCCCGAUUACCUCAUCGGAGAGCAAUACCCACAAUCACCUACCGAUCAUCUCCUGACCACCGGAACCACUUCCACCGCGACAACCAGCGAUUACCCACAAUCACCUACCGAUCACUGUCGACCACUGUCGACGACCUCUGUCCACACCACCGUUGAUCGCCAUAUCCACCGUAGGGCUCCGAUUGACUUCCGUCAACAGCUGAUUAACAAACAGAGUUUUAUAAUUUAUCUAGUUUUCGGCUCAAGUGAAUUCAGGUAUGAAAGUUAUUGUGGGUUGAAGCUAGAUGUGAAAGGGUUGAUUUUGAGUGGGACGAGAUGGGUCAGGGAAUUCAAUUGAGAUUGAGUUUGGUUCAGAUAUGGGAGUCUCUUUUGGGUUUGAUGUGAGUUUGUUAAAUGGGUAUUGAAUGUAAUUGGUAGAAGGUUUCUAUUCUGAGUCGAGAGACACUUCAAACGAGUAUUCAGAAUGCCGUAGAGUUUUAGUCGAGAUAUGUCAGUAGGUGUUGGUAAUUUUAGUGUUAUCAACGGAUUUUAGGAUAUUGGAUUA
This 579-nucleotide long non-coding RNA is filed under the name Helianthus annuus (common sunflower). Its description in RNAcentral is "sRNA HanXRQr2_Chr11g0472521". The record is from RNAcentral. Lineage: Eukaryota; Viridiplantae; Streptophyta; Magnoliopsida; Asterales; Asteraceae.